Long non-coding RNA from Macaca fascicularis (crab-eating macaque), 1548 nucleotides. Lineage: Eukaryota; Metazoa; Chordata; Mammalia; Primates; Cercopithecidae. The record is from Ensembl.
UUUUUUCUUUUUCUUUUUUUUUUUUUUAAGCGCCAAACGGCGUGCCGCGAAAUUCGGAUCUCCCGCGGAAAAUGCCGCGCUCCCGUUGGCUGCUGCAAGAGUACAGGCUCCACCCCCCGGAAAGAACCAGUCCUCGAGGCGGCGAUUGCAACACGAGCUUCGCUGCUUAAAGGGGCAGCCACACCUGCUGUCGGUGCCGCCCGCCGCUGGACGCGCUAGCUAGCAGCCGGCGAGACGGAGACAGGGUGGUUCUGGGAUGCACAGUGCAGAGGCGGCCAGAACAGAGCACAGCGCCCCGAGAAAUGGGCCCGGAUUCCCUGGGGUUGAAGGGAAACAUUUUGGCGCCGGGUCCCGACCUGAGCCCAGACUCAGCAGUGUAUUCCCCAGGCCACAGGCCCUUUUGUUAGUUUGCAUUGUUGCUUAGCUAGCACAUGUGCAUUCAUAUCCCCUUUCCUGCUAAAAUGAAGGCCAGGAACUUGUUCCCUUUAAUGGCAGAGGGGUGAGGGAUGGAGGCAAACUAGUCUACUUCUUUAUAGGGAAAACUAACAUCUAUUCAGCGCCUGCAGGAUGCCAAGCACCAUGCUAGAUCCUUACAAGGGUUGUUUUAAUUUAUUCCAACAAUCCUGGGAAGAGGAAUGAUGAUCCCCAUGAUAAAGACUGACAGUCUGAAAGGCUGGGUAACUUGCCCAAGGUCAUACAGAGAGAUUCCCUGAUUUGAGAGCUGGCAAUGGAAUCUGGGACAGGUCCCAGCUCUGGAGCCCUUGUUUUUCCAGUUAAGGGGUUCUUCUACCCUCCCAAGCUGCCUGCCGACACAGCAGGGUCAGAGGCCCACUGCAGAGCUUUGUCUUAUUCACAGUUGUAUUCUUAGGACCCAACACUCAGUAAAUGUUUGAACAUCUCCAGGUUUCUUUUAAACAAUCCUUUUGUCACAAGAGCCUCCCUGCCUCAUUCAAAAAUCUUCAUUGCUGAUAAUAUAUUCCUCACCACUCCAGUUUAGAGAGGCUCAGAGAAGCAACCUUUGGUAGUGAGUGGUAAAGCUGCUAGAAGCUGCUGCUACAUUCCAGGUCUGAUUCUUGCCUGGUGCUGUGUGAUUUUUAUGCAAGUCUGAGCCUUGGCAUUCAAAACCCUCCAGAGACAGUCCACAGCUUAUUUCCUCAUUAGAUGGUUGAGGACAAGGUGGCAAUAACCCAUGAUGAUUAAGAGCCCAGGCUGUGUGGCCAACAGCCCUGAGUUCAAACCCAGGCCCAGACACUUUAUUCGUUGUGUGACCUAGGCAAAUUUUGUAAAUUCUCUGAUCCUUGAUCCUUGAUUUUCUCAUCCUAAUAGCACUUACCUCAUAGGAUCAUGAGGAAAUCUCCUGAGAUAAUGCAUAUAAAGCUUUCAGCACAGAACCUGGAUCAUAAGGAGGCUCAAGAAUUGGCAGAUGUUGUUAUAUCUCUGACUUUUUUUUUUUUUUUAAGACAGAGUCUCACUCUGUCACCAGGUUGGAAUGCAGCGGUGCAAUUCUCCUGCCUCAGGUUCAAGUGAGUCUCCUGCCUCAGCCUCCCA